UACGAAGGGGGCUAGCGUUGCUCGGAAUCACUGGGCGUAAAGGGUGCGUAGGCGGGUCUUUAAGUCAGGGGUGAAAUCCUGGAGCUCAACUCCAGAACUGCCUUUGAUACUGAGGAUCUUGAGUACGGGAGAGGUGAGUGGAACUGCGAGUGUAGAGGUGAAAUUCGUAGAUAUUCGCAAGAACACCAGUGGCGAAGGCGGCUCACUGGCCCGUAACUGACGCUGAGGCACGAAAGCGUGGGGAGCGAUCAGG
RNAcentral lists this ribosomal RNA (253 nucleotides) under uncultured bacterium. RNAcentral's name for it is "partial 16S ribosomal RNA". It matches the Rfam family "Bacterial small subunit ribosomal RNA", at positions 524 to 776 of the family's 1533-position model. The record is from RNAcentral.